RNAcentral lists this ribosomal RNA (403 nucleotides) under uncultured soil bacterium. RNAcentral describes it as "bacterial SSU rRNA". It matches the Rfam family "Bacterial small subunit ribosomal RNA", at positions 26 to 422 of the family's 1533-position model. The record is from RNAcentral.
AGAGUGAACGCUGGCGGUAGGCCUAACACAUGCAAGUCGAACGGCAGCACGGUAAGAGCUUGCUCUUAUGGGUGGCGAGUGGCGGACGGGUGAGGAAUACAUCGGAAUCUACCUUUUGGUGGGGGAUAACGUAGGGAAACUUACGCUAAUACCGCAUACGCCCUUCGGGGGAAAGCCGGGGACCAGCAAUGGCCUGGCGCUGAUAGAUGAGCCGAUGUCGGAUUAGCUAGUUGGUGAGGUAAUGGCUCACCAAGGCGACGGCGGGUAGCCGGCCUGAGAGGGUGACCGGCCACACUGGGACUGAGACACGGCCCAGACUCCUACGGGAGGCAGCAGUGGGAAUAUUGCACAAUGGGCGCAAGCCUGAUGCAGCAACGCCGCGUGAGGGACGAAGGCCUUCGGG